This 483-nucleotide ribosomal RNA is filed under the name uncultured bacterium. RNAcentral's name for it is "bacterial SSU rRNA". It matches the Rfam family "Bacterial small subunit ribosomal RNA", at positions 28 to 524 of the family's 1533-position model. The record is from RNAcentral.
GACGAAUGCUGGCUGCGUGCUUAACACAUGCAAGUCGAACGGUGAACAGGGGCUUGCCCCUGGGAUCAGUGGCGAACGGGUGAGUAACACGUGGGCAACCUGCCCCUCACUCUGGGAUAACUCCGGGAAACCGGGGCUAAUACCGGAUACGACCAGGCACGACAUCGGGUCUGGUGGAAAGAACUUCGGUGAGGGAUGGGCCCGCGGCCUAUCAGCUUGUUGGUGAGGUAAUGGCUCACCAAGGCGACGACGGGUAGCCGGCCUGAGAGGGCGACCGGCCACACUGGGACUGAGACACGGCCCAGACUCCUACGGGAGGCAGCAGUGGGGAAUAUUGCGCAAUGGGCGAAAGCCUGACGCAGCGACGCAGCGUGAGGGACGAAGGGCCUUCGGGUUGUAAACCUCUUUCAGCGGGGACGAAGCGAAAGUGACGGUACCCGCAGAAGAAGCACCGGCUAACUACGUGCCAGCAGCCGCGGUAAU